Molecule: ribosomal RNA, 429 nt
Filed under: Staphylococcus aureus MUM270
Lineage: Bacteria; Bacillati; Bacillota; Bacilli; Caryophanales; Staphylococcaceae
Description: bacterial LSU rRNA
Rfam family: Bacterial large subunit ribosomal RNA
Source: RNAcentral
UUWGAUUAAGUUAUUAAGGGCGCACGGUGGAUGCCUUGGCACUAGAAGCCGAUGAAGGACGUUACUAACGACGAUAUGCUUUGGGGAGCUGUAAGUAAGCUUUGAUCCAGAGAUUUCCGAAUGGGGAAACCCAGCAUGAGUUAUGUCAUGUUAUCGAUAUGUGAAUACAUAGCAUAUCAGAAGGCACACCCGGAGAACUGAAACAUCUUAGUACCCGGAGGAAGAGAAAGAAAAUUCGAUUCCCUUAGUAGCGGCGAGCGAAACGGGAAGAGCCCAAACCAACAAGCUUGCUUGUUGGGGUUGUAGGACACUCUAUACGGAGUUACAAAGGACGACAUUAGACGAAUCAUCUGGAAAGAUGAAUCAAAGAAGGUAAUAAUCCUGUAGUCGAAAAUGUCUCUCUUGAGUGGAUCCUGAGUACGACGGAGC